Molecule: ribosomal RNA, 446 nt
Filed under: uncultured bacterium
Lineage: Bacteria
Description: SSU rRNA
Rfam family: Bacterial small subunit ribosomal RNA
Source: RNAcentral
AGAACGAACGCUGGCGGCAGGCCUAAUACAUGCAAGUCGAACGCACUCUUCGGAGUGAGUGGCAGACGGGUGAGUAACGCGUGGGAACCUUCCCAAUGGUACGGAAUAACUCCGGGAAACCGGUGCUAAUACCGUAUAAGCCCCUCGGGGGAAAGAUUUAUCGCCAUUGGAUGGGCCCGCGUCGGAUUAGCUAGUUGGUGAGGUAACGGCUCACCAAGGCGACGAUCGGUAGGUGGUCUGAGAGGACGAUCACCCAGACUGGGACUGAGACACGGCCCAGACUCCUACGGGAGGCAGCAGUCGGGAAUUUUGCGCAAUGGACGAAAGUCUGACGCAGCAACGCCGCGUGAGGGAUGAAGGCCUUCGGGUUGUAAACCUCUUUUUCCAGGGAAGAUAAUGACGGUACCUGGCGAAUAAGUCACGGCUAACUACGUGCCAGCAGCCGC